UACGUAGGUGGCGAGCGUUGUUCGGAUUUAUUGGGCGUAAAGGGUCCGCAGGAGGUUUGUUAAGUUCGAAGUGAAAUCCCGGAGCUCAACUCCGGAACUGCUUUGGAGACUGACGAACUAGAGUGCUGGAGAGGUAAGCGGAAUUCCAGGUGUAGCGGUGGAAUGCGUAGAUAUCUGGAAGAACACCAAAAGCGAAGGCAGCUUACUGGACAGCAACUGACUCUCAGGGACGAAAGCGUGGGGAG
Molecule: ribosomal RNA, 245 nt
Filed under: uncultured Victivallis sp.
Lineage: Bacteria; Pseudomonadati; Lentisphaerota; Lentisphaeria; Victivallales; Victivallaceae
Description: partial 16S ribosomal RNA
Rfam family: Bacterial small subunit ribosomal RNA
Source: RNAcentral